Molecule: long non-coding RNA, 319 nt
Filed under: Elaeis guineensis (African oil palm)
Lineage: Eukaryota; Viridiplantae; Streptophyta; Magnoliopsida; Arecales; Arecaceae
Description: long non-coding RNA (EGUI_LNC042642)
Source: RNAcentral
AGUGCAUCCAUGGAUACAUUCUUAACCAAUUAUUUCAUCAAAUAAUUUUUAGCAAUUAGGAUUUACCUCGGGCAUCUCUUCAGCAAACAUGUGUUAUCUUUACUGAAAAUCCUGGUUAAGUCCAACCAUUAAAAUGACAACACCAAAUGCAUCUAGCAAAUGAAUGCCCAAGGCCGAGUGUGGCUCGACCAACCUAACCAUUUAUCUGAAGGGCAUAAUAAGGUAGUCAUAUGAUGAAUGAUAAUUUCAAUACCCAAUAGACACCAAGCAUAUGGUGCCUUCGAUGCCUAUUUAGAAUAUUGGACGUAUUAUCAUGCAC